Salmo salar (Atlantic salmon) is the source of this 957-nucleotide long non-coding RNA. RefSeq lists it as uncharacterized. The record is from RefSeq and is a predicted model, not a curated record. NCBI's taxonomy places the organism in Eukaryota, Metazoa, Chordata, Actinopteri, Salmoniformes, Salmonidae.
CUGACGACAAUGACUGAAGACAGGGAAGAAUGAACAUCUACCUCUCUGCAUAACAGAUUUGAAAAAACCUAUUUCCUCCCCCUAAUUUGCUUUGGGGUCUGUGUCAUUGAAGAGUAACGUCAACUGCUAACACAUGUCAGUGACUGGAUGUAUGGCAUCUACAGCAGUGCUUGGCCACCCACUCAGUUACCAGUGACAUAUUCUGGCACAUCCCAGGGAAAGGAGAGAUCAGAACCACCCCUCCUUAAAUCCAUACUCAUUUACAGUGCAAAACCCUUGUCCUGAUUCUUCUCCAACACGGCUCAGGGGCAUAUUUGGGGACUUUUCAGAGGGCCCGCAACACUUCAUGACACUUACUGUAAGCAUAAAACAUUUAAAUUAACGAUUUGCAUAAUGUGGGCAUGCAGGAUACGACAUAACAGUAACGUGCGGUAAAAUAUAUUUAACAGUCAGAAUCUACUAAAAGUGGUAGCAAAGGCAUGUUUGCUCCUCUGUCCCUUCAUAUUGAAGUGGGACAUUCAUUAAUUGGUAAUCAAUCUGAAACAUUAAGAAAGAGGAUUUUAAAAUUUGACAGUUGGAUAAGGAAAAUGUUUAACACCUCUCUAAAUGGUAAAGUUUUGCUUAAUAAUAAUACAUGAUGUAAUAUUCUAACAACUUUUUAUAAACACACCGCUCCAUAAUCCUGAGGACAUUGUCUAGGACAGAGGUUCUCCAAUUGAGGACAGCUUGGCAGUCUUAAAAGAAGAAAGUUAUAUACAAACAUAUCUGACCCAUCACAUGACUCUUCAAGAGGGCCACUACGCUCCAGAUCGCCUUCUGUGCUCAGAGGUCCUUGAUGAGGAUCUACCUCUUCACACCACUCUUAUUAAAUCAAAUAAAUCAAUGGGCCUUUAUGUACUCCCAGUAUUUCUAUGCAUGUAAUUUCUGUGGGUGAAUUAUGGAACAAUUGCUGUACAG